GUGUGUGUGUGUGUACACACUUGGAAUGAUACCGGGAGGAUUAGUAUGGCCCCUGCACACAAAUUCAUGAAGUGCUCCAUAUUUUA
Mus spicilegus (steppe mouse) is the source of this 86-nucleotide small nuclear RNA. The record is from Ensembl. Lineage: Eukaryota; Metazoa; Chordata; Mammalia; Rodentia; Muridae.